UUUUAAAUUGUUGAAAAAAUUACUACAAUAUUGAUAUUGGAACUAAAAUUAAUAAUAAUAAGUAAAUAGUCACAAAUACUAUGUCAUUACAAGCUAUUGCCUUGAAAGCAAUCUCGGCCUGACUCCGGUGCAAAUUCUUCUAGUCGGUCGCCAUCAAAGGUUCCAUAGUUACUUCCAAACACGUGCACUCAUGGUUGAAAGUUUGGAGUUAUACUAACUAUUGCCUAGAAAUUCACAAUGAAUAGGAAAUCAAUGAGGACAAAGUAAUUUAGAAAGAAAACCAAGAAAAGAGAAUGAUAUUACUUUAUGUGAAUGUGUCUUUACAUAAAGAGAAAACCACAAUCAUAUAGGUGUAGAAAUUGUACGUUUUUUGUGACGAAAUAAAUAAGAUAUCAGUUGAUAUCUCAUUAUGGACAUGAAUGAAUGUGACUUUUGUUCUCAUCACCACAAUUAAUUUGAGAGAAUGAUAUGAGUUUUUACUUUGCAUUUUCAUCUGCACAAUUAAUUGCAGAGAAAUGAAUGUAGUGAAUUCAUUGUUUGUAUUCUCAUUCAUGAACGAAAAAAGCUCACUACUAGGAAAAAUUAUUCUAGAGUCCUAUACCAAAUGUAUGAAGGUACAUCUAACUAAUUCCUAAAGUAUAUUCUUUCAAUUGAUUUAGCUAUAUCCUCUAUAUAUCUUGUUGUUAAGAUACAUCUUCGCGGUAGUCAAAUCACAAGCUAACAAAUAACACGGGCUUCUUGGCCAAAAGGACACUUUUACUAAACUAUAUUUGUAUUUAGACACAAAAUUUAAAUUCCUUACCAAAUAUCCCACUAAUAAUGAAAUUAUCAAUCCUACUUCCGACGCAACCACUUUUACACCACUAUGUUUUAAAAUAGUGAAAAUGAUCAAAUUUACUCAUCUACUUUAGAAAAUUGGCUAAAUAUAUGUCCUUUAUCAUACUUUAUACUCUUAAUUGUUUAGGGGUCAUCACCAUUUAAAACCUAAGGCAACAUGUUGAUGAUUCUUAUAUGUUUAUUUUGCAUGUAUAAGAGUUGAGAGCUUUAAGAAAUAUAGAGUACUUAUUGUUGGAUGGGAACAAAUUGGACGAGAACUUUUUCAGGAGUAGAGGUGUAUUGUCUUUCCGUAAAAUAUUUUCAGUAGCUCAAUGCAACCUCAAUGGAGCCCCACCUCUUCAAGGUAAGAUUAAUGGCAAUGUCAACAUAAGAUUCAAUUCUAUCCAUUAGAUCACUCUUAUAACUUAGCCUAAUUAAUUUGAAUGUGAUUUAUACGGUUAUUAUUGGGUUCGAAAUCGAGAGAGCGUCAUGCAGAAGCUUAGAGUUUGCAAACCAAGACGGUGAUAAUUCAGAUGAAAAAUAAAAAUAUACUAAAACGUAAUAUUAUUGAUGUAAUUUGGCCAAUUGGUCUACACAUAAAAACUAAUAAUAAAGAAAAUAUAAAACUGUUGGGAGAAUAUCUCUCCCUAAACAAAAUUCUUUAAACGACUAUAUUUUGUGGAUCGUAUUGUGUUAUAGUAUGAGAAGAUGAGUGUUGUAUUUAUAUAUGUCCAAAAUCAUUCUACUAAGAAAGAAGUUAGCCAAAUAUGGAAAACAAUUAUAUUUUCCUCAAGAAAAGUAAAAAUAAUUAUGGUAUUAAUUUUAUUUUCCUUUUAAGAAAAAUAAAACUAAAAUUUGGUAAGAAAAUUAGGACAAAAACCUAACAGUUAUAUGGUACAAUUAAAUGUCAGUUCUUUCUCUUAGUACCAUCUUCCUAGAUGGUGCUCCGUCGAUAUGUCAUGAGCUGAACUUUUUCGUUGUUGAAAAUUCGACUAAACGCUACUUCCUCCGUUUAAAAAAGAAUGACCUACUUUGACUUGAUACAAAGUUUAAGAAAAUAAAAAAACUUUUGAUCUUGUGGCCUUAAAUUAAAGUUGUGUCAAAUGUACUAAAAUGCCCUUUAAUCUUGUGGUCCUAAACAUGCCACGUGGAAAGUUGAAAAUAAAGUAUUGCCAAAAAGGGAAAGGGGUCAUUCUUUUUUAAAUGGACUAAAAAGGAAAGUAGGUCAUUCUUUUUGAAACGGAGGGAGUAUAAUUUAAGAUCAAAUGCCUUCUUUGCUAAUGCUUAUGAAUAAACAUUAUGAAGGACUGACAUUAAUAAUUAAAAACCUAACAAUUGAUUAUGAGAAGAUUUUGAAACGGAGGGAGUAUAAUUUAAGAUCAGAUGCCUUCUUUGCUAAUGCUUAUGAAUAAACAUUAUGAAGGACUGACAUUAAUAAUUAAAAACCUAACAAUUGAUUAUGAGAAGAUUUAGAUGUUUAUUAUAGCCUAUAACAAAAUUCUGGCUUAAUUUACUAUCCUUUUAUUUUUCCUACUUGAAUUUUUAUCUCUUGAACUUACCUUACAAUUUUGGUUUGCAUGUUUCCUAUAUUUUUUGCGUAAUAACAAAAUAAAACAUGUAUAACAGUAAUAAAACAUUUAUAAAAGUUAUCUACAUAUUCAUCUUAUAGGCUUGUGUGAUCAUAAUAUCUUGAAGAACAAAGUCUCCGAAGAAACAGCUUCAGUGGAAAAGUCCCUAUAUGUCUUGGAAACUUAACACUUGUGAUCUCACUCAAAAUUAGUUUCCCUCUGCACUUAUAGGCUUGUGUGAUAUCAAAUAUCUUGAAGAAGUAAGUCUCAGAAGAAAUAACUUAGUUGGAAAAAUCCCUACCUGUCUUGGAAAUUUAACAUUUGUUCGAAUAAUAGAUCGCAGUCAAAAUCAGUUUACUGGAAAUAUUGUCUCAUCUCCACUUGCAAGUCACUUAUCCCUUGAAUAUCUCUUGUUAGCAGGCAACAACUUUGAAGUACCAAGUUCAUUCGAGUUGUUUGCUAACCAUACAAAGCUUAAGAUUGCUUUUGCUGACCGAAACUUAGCAAUUGGACAAACUUCUUCCAAAAUCUGGGUACCAAAGUUUCAAUUGGAAGCUUUAUCUUUAAACAACUACUCUCAAAUACCAAGUUUCCUACAUUAUCAAUAUCAUUUAAGACUUCUUUGUCUCUCGAAAUGCAACAUUGGUGGGAGAUUUUCGAAUUGGUUGCUACAAAACAAUCCCAGACUUGGAGAAGUUUACUUGGAUGGAAAUGAUACAAUCAGUGAUGUCCAGUAAUGUACUUGAAGGCUUAUUGCCUUUAAGUUUGGGUGACAUGAAAGACCUGGAAUGCUUGGAUUUGUCAGGCAAUAAACUAAUUGGUGGCCUACCAAGUGGAUUGGCUCGUUAAAGUUCCAAUUUGUAUUUUCAGCGAUUAUUGAAUGACACGUUGAAG
This 3278-nucleotide long non-coding RNA is filed under the name Capsicum annuum. Its description in RNAcentral is "long non-coding RNA (CANN_LNC011118)". Lineage: Eukaryota; Viridiplantae; Streptophyta; Magnoliopsida; Solanales; Solanaceae. The record is from RNAcentral.